AGUGAACGCUGGCGGUAGGCCUAACACAUGCAAGUCGAACGGCAGCACAGUAAGAGCUUGCUCUUACGGGUGGCGAGUGGCGGACGGGUGGGGAAUACAUCGGAAUCUACUUUUUCGUGGGGGAUAACGUAGGGAAACUUACGCUAAUACCGCAUACGACCUACGGGUGAAAGCAGGGGAUCUUCGGGCCUUGCGCGAUUGAAUGAGCCGAUGUCGGAUUAGCUAGUUGGCGGGGUAAAGGCCCACCAAGGCGACGAUCCGUAGCUGGUCUGAGAGGAUGAUCAGCCACACUGGAACUGAGACACGGUCCAGACUCCUACGGGAGGCAGCAGUGGGGAAUAUUGGACAAUGGGCGCAAGCCUGAUCCAGCCAUACCGCGUGGGUGAAGAAGGCCUUCGGGUUGUAAAGCCCUUUUGUUGGGAAAGAAAAGCAGCAGGUUAAUACCCCGCUGUUCUGACGGUACCCAAAGAAUAAGCACCGGCUAACUUCGUG
RNAcentral lists this ribosomal RNA (492 nucleotides) under uncultured bacterium. Its description in RNAcentral is "partial 16S ribosomal RNA". It matches the Rfam family "Bacterial small subunit ribosomal RNA", at positions 29 to 507 of the family's 1533-position model. The record is from RNAcentral.